Molecule: ribosomal RNA, 402 nt
Filed under: uncultured bacterium
Lineage: Bacteria
Description: bacterial SSU rRNA
Rfam family: Bacterial small subunit ribosomal RNA
Source: RNAcentral
GAUGAACGCUAGCGGCAGGCUUAACACAUGCAAGUCGAGGGGUAGGUUACUUCGGUAAUUGAGACCGGCGCACGGGUGCGUAACGCGUAUACAAUCUACCUUUUACAGAGGGAUAGCCCAGAGAAAUUUGGAUUAAUACCUCAUAGUAUUUUUGAAUCGCAUGAUUUGAUUAUUAAAGUUCCAACGGUAAAAGAUGAGUAUGCGUCCCAUUAGCUAGAUGGUAAGGUAACGGCUUACCAUGGCUACGAUGGGUAGGGGUCCUGAGAGGGAGAUCCCCCACACUGGUACUGAGACACGGACCAGACUCCUACGGGAGGCAGCAGUGGAGGAAUAUUGGACAAUGGGCGCAAGCCUGAUCCAGCCAUGCCGCGUGCAGGAAGAAGGUCCUAUGGAUUGUAAACC